Long non-coding RNA from Meriones unguiculatus (Mongolian gerbil), 1613 nucleotides. RefSeq lists it as uncharacterized. The record is from RefSeq and is a predicted model, not a curated record. Lineage: Eukaryota; Metazoa; Chordata; Mammalia; Rodentia; Muridae. The transcript has 3 exons.
CCUGGCAUCAGGGAGGUGGUAGGAGAGCAUGUUACCCAUGUAGAAUGCCCUGUCUCGUCAUGACAGAGCAUGAGGAUGAGUCUGAACUUCUGAUUCUCCUGCUUCUUUUUCCUGAGUGCUGAGAUUACAGCAGCAGUUUCUCAUCCUCUAUUCCUGAUGGAUGGAUUGCCUCUGCUCAGGAAGCCAGGAGACCACACGAGCCAGGGACACUGCCUAGGUGAUGGACUAACUAGUCAUCUCUGUCAUUUUGAUUGAUUUUCACCCUAUUGACUCUAUUUCCGGGAUCAGCUAUGGACUGCAACCUGAAAUCUGGACUUUUUGGAGGCUGACAUGACUGCUCCCUGUCUCUUCAAUCAGAUCAAAUAAGCAGAGACUGUUAAGGACUGCCUCAUUGAACAGCCUUUGACUGGCUCCUAGUAAUCUUUACUAAAGUAGGAAAAACUUGUGAUUGGACAAAAGGCUAUGAUUUCGGCGUCAAAGUAAGAGAUUCUAAUAUCUUGGGCUGGAGCUCUAAAGAUCCAGGAGAAAUCCUUAAAAUUCAAUUGGAAGCAACUCCCUUGGGCACUCAAGAAAUGGGACCCUUACCUACUUUGCUUGUUUUUUUAAUGUUUGAACCCUGCAUUAUAAAUCGUCUGGUUGUGUUUAUUAGGGAAGAGAUUAGUGUCGUGUAAGUGCUUACACUAAGACAACAUCACCAAAGAGUAAAUAUGACUGGGCAUGUAAUGGAAACAAAACCCAGAUAAUUACAGGCUAAGGUACUACGCAUGUACUCGCCCCAAAUUUUGACCAACAUUUCAGCCUCUUUCAAACUGAGAGAUCAACAGCACAAUUAUCAACAUUGAAGAAAUUCCAGAAGACGGAUCUCCAGCUCAUUGUCCCAUUCUACAGGCUGAAAUGUUGAGUCAAAAGGGAAAAUUUUUCUUGAGAUAGAAUCCUCACUAUACAGCUGAUUCAUGAUUGAAGCAGUUACAAGAAGGGGGAAAUGAAAGAAUCAGAGUAAUUUUUUAACCAAUGUUUCUUUUAAUUGACUUAUAACUUAUAUUUUCAAGUUUUAGGCCCAUGUUAACUAAAGCCUCUUAGUGCUUCUCUAGAGAGCUGAGGAAUCUAAAAGUUCCUGACAUUAGCCAUCUGUGAGGGCAGAGAUAAGGAAGAGGGAAGAGAACAAGCAGAAAUCUCUACUAAAUGGAGAGAAAAUCACCAGCUGGCACCUGUGAGAUGAGCUUUGCUUGGAAACUGGGCCAAAUAGUACCAAUCCUUCUCCUGAAUAACUCCUGACCUUUGAUCGAUAGCCUGUAACCCCCACUCCUCAGAACAGACAGGGCAUGAGUUAAUCAUUCUCCCACUGUUAACUGUGGCUAUAUCUCAUAUGGCAGGAAAUUCCAAACUGACUUGAAGAUCAGAUAUUUAUGACAGGGCUGACAGGACCUAGAACCAACCAAUUAUUUUAAAAGUUAAAUACCUCAUCCAAUCCUGAAUCACCAAGAGCGAAACUCCAGGAGAUCCUCGUGAUUUGUCUUUUAAAAACCCAAAGUCUUUGUCUUCUGGGACCACUCCUUGCUGACCAGCAUGGGUGACCCAUUGCUCAAUGGUCAAAAUAAACAAACCUCUUGCAA